UGUUGCUUGCAAGGGCGUAUGGUGGAUGCCUUGGCAGACAGGACCGAUGAAGGACGUUUGAGGCUGCGAUAUGCCUCGGGGAGCCGCCAACAGGGCUUUGAUCCGAGGAUUUCCGAAUGGGGGAACCCACCGACCGUCAUGGGUCGGUACCGGCUUCGGCCGGGGGGUACGCAGGGAAGUGAAACAUCUCAGUACCUGCAGGAAAGGAUAUUCCGUGAGUAGUGGCGAGCGAAAGCGGAUGAUGGCCAAACCUUGCGCGUGUGAUACCCGUCGGGGGUUGCGCGCGGGGUGUUGCGGGAUCGCGUGCGCCGGCUCCGACGGGCCGGCCGGCAGUUGCAGAAAACCAUGUGUCAGGGGAACCGGGUUGAAUACCGGGCCGCAGAGGGUGAGGGCCCCGUACCUGAACGCGCAUGGUCUGCCGAUCGCGUCUCCCAAGUAGCACGGGUCCCGUGGAACCCCGUGCGAAUCCGCCCAGACCGUUGGGUAAGCCUGAAUAUUCCUGUCUGACCGAUAGCGAACGAGUACCGUGAGGGAAAGGUGAAAAGUACCCCGGGAGGGGAGUGAAACAGUCUCUGAAACCGUGCGCCUACAAUCCGUCGGAGCCCUUUUGUGGGGUGACGGCGUGCCUAUCGAAAAAUGAGUCUGCGAGUCAGUGGCAUGUGGCGAGCAUAACCCGUGUGGGGUAUGCGUAGCGAAGGCGAGUCUUAAAAGGCGUUUGAGUCGCGUGUCCUGGACCCGAAGCGGGAUGAUCUAGCCCUGAGCAGGUUGAAGCGCGGGUAAGACCGCGUGGAGGACCGAACCCACCUGGGUUGAAAACCGGGGGGAUGACUUGGGGCUAGGGGUGAAAGGCCAAUCAAAUUCCGUGAUAGCUGGUUCUCUCCGAAAUGCAUUUGGGUGCAGCGUCGGGUCAUUACGUCCCGGGGGUAGAGCUACUGGAUGCUUGCGGGCCCGUAUCGGGUACCAACAGCAACCAAACUCCGAAUACCGGUGACGCGUAUCCCGGCAGUGAGUCGGCGGGGGAUAAGCUUCGUCGUCGAAAGGGAAACAGCCCAGACCGUCGUCUAAGGUCCCGAAGCGUGUGCUAAGUGGGAAAGGAUGUGGAGUCGCAUAGACAGCCAGGAGGUUGGCUCAGAAGCAGCCACCCUUGAAAGAGUGCGUAACAGCUCACUGGUCUAGUGGUUCCGCGCCGACAAUGUAGCGGGGCUCAAGCACACCACCGAAGACGCGGCAGUAUUUUGUACUGGGUAGGAGAGCGUCCCAUGAGGGGCGAAGCGGCCGUGUGAACGCGCCGUGGACUUCAUGGGAGUGAGAAUGCAGACAUGAGUAGCGAGAGACGGGUGAAGAUCCCGUCCGCUGGAUGACCAAGGGUUCCAGGGCCACGUUCAUCGUCCCUGGGUGAGUCGGGUCCUAAGGCGAGGCCGACAGGCGUAGUCGAAUGGAUGAACGGGUCGAUAUUCCCGUACCGGCUUUCAGCCGCCAAAACCGAGGCUUGGAGUACUAACCUCCGGGUCCGGGCUUACUGCUCCUUCGGGGGCGGGAUGCCCUGGCCUGUUGGGACCGAUCCUUGUAGUAGGUCAGCGCAGGAGUGACGCAGAAGGGUAGCCGGCCGCGGAGGUGGUCUUCCGUGGUCAAGCACGCAGGGCGUGGGACAGGCAAAUCCGUCCCGCAUGGGUCCGAGGUGCGAUGAUGGGGGCCUUAUGGCCCGAUAUCCGGUGAUCCCGGCUGCCGAGAAAAGCUUCGGCGUCAGGCUCAAAGCCGCCCGUACCCCAAACCGACACUGGUGGUCAGGUAGAGAAUACCAAAGCGAUCGAGCGAAUCCUGGUCAAGGAACUCGGCAAAUCACUCCCGUUCCUUCGGUUUAAGGGAGACCCCCGAUGGUGAACCGCCUCGCGCGGGGAGCUUUUGGGGGUGGCACAGACCAGGGGGUAGCGACUGUUUACCAAAAACACAGGUGCAUGCGAAGGCGCAAGCCGCUGUAUAUGCACUGACGCCUGCCCGGUGCCGGAAGGUUAAGAGGAUCCGUCAGCCUUCGGGUGAAGCGGUGAAUUCAAGCCCCGGUAAACGGCGGUGGUAACUAUAACCAUCCUAAGGUAGCGAAAUUCCUUGUCGGGUAAGUUCCGACCUGCACGAAUGGCGUAA
RNAcentral lists this ribosomal RNA (2139 nucleotides) under human gut metagenome. RNAcentral's name for it is "bacterial LSU rRNA". It matches the Rfam family "Bacterial large subunit ribosomal RNA", at positions 1 to 2004 of the family's 2925-position model. The record is from RNAcentral.